RNAcentral lists this long non-coding RNA (211 nucleotides) under Pongo abelii (Sumatran orangutan). RNAcentral's name for it is "lincRNA". The record is from RNAcentral. Lineage: Eukaryota; Metazoa; Chordata; Mammalia; Primates; Hominidae.
UGUUUUGCCAAAGUCCUGCCCACACAGAGGGGAUCACUGAAACCAGUAUCCAGGUGAUAUUGUUCCAUAUACCUGAGACCAUAACAAAAGCCUAAUUACAACUCAUAUGGCUGGAGCCAGGACAUGUGCAGGAUGGUGAUGUAAUUCUCCUCUCUGGAACAGGCCAUGAACAAAGGAAAGAUCGUGACAUAUUGCAAGAUCAGGCACACAC